RNAcentral lists this ribosomal RNA (497 nucleotides) under uncultured bacterium. Its description in RNAcentral is "partial 16S ribosomal RNA". It matches the Rfam family "Bacterial small subunit ribosomal RNA", at positions 28 to 507 of the family's 1533-position model. The record is from RNAcentral.
GAUGAACGCUGGCGGCGUGCCUAAUACAUGCAAGUCGAGCGAACAGAUAAGGAGCUUGCUCCUUUGACGUUAGCGGCGGACGGGUGAGUAACACGUGGGUAACCUACCUAUAAGACUGGAAUAACUCCGGGAAACCGGGGCUAAUGCCGGAUAACAUUUAGAACCGCAUGGUUCUAAAGAGAAAGAUGGCUUUGCUAUCACGUAUAGAUGGACCCGCGCCGUAUUAGCUAGUUGGUAAGGUAACGGCUUACCAAGGCAACGAUACGUAGCCGACCGGAGAGGGGGAUCGGCCACACUGGAGCUGAGACACGGUCCAGGGUCCUACGGGAGGCAGCAGUAGGGAACCUUCCGCAACGGGCGAAAGCCUGACGGAGCAACGCCGCGUGAGUGAUGAAGGUCUUCGGAUCGUAAAACUCUGUUAUUAGGGAAGAACAAAUGUGUAAGGAACUGUGCACGUCUUGACGGUACCUAAUCAGAAAGCAACGGCUAACUACGUG